GAUGAACGCUGGCGGCGUGCCUAAUACAUGCAAGUCGAGCGAACAGACGAGGAUCUUGCUCCUCUGACGUUAGCGGCGGACGGGUGAGUAACACGUGGAUAACCUACCUAUAAGACUGGGAUAACUUCGGGAAACCGGAGCUAAUACCGGAUAAUAUAUUGAACCGCAUGGUUCAAUAGUGAAAGACGGUUUUGCUGUCACUUAUAGAUGGAUCCGCGCCGCAUUAGCUAGUUGGUAAGGUAACGGCUUACCAAGGCAACGAUGCGUAGCCGACCUGAGAGGGUGAUCGGCCACACUGGAACUGAGACACGGUCCAGACUCCUACGGGAGGCAGCAGUAGGGAAUCUUCCGCAAUGGGCGAAAGCUUGACGGAGCAACGCCGCGUGAGUGAUGAAGGUCUUCGGAUCGUAAAACUCUGUUAUUAGGGAAGAACAAAUGUGUAAGUAAAUAUGCACGUCUUGACGGUACCUAAUCAGAAAGCCACGGCUAACUACGUG
RNAcentral lists this ribosomal RNA (497 nucleotides) under uncultured bacterium. RNAcentral describes it as "partial 16S ribosomal RNA". It matches the Rfam family "Bacterial small subunit ribosomal RNA", at positions 28 to 507 of the family's 1533-position model. The record is from RNAcentral.